UUAAUAGCAAAUAAAGACUAAGAAUUUUAACAAUUAGUCAGAACAGCCUUCUGUGAAUUGAUUUAAUGAAAAAGAAACCUGGGAAUCAAUAUUGUAACAAACCAAAUUCACAAUUCAAAUGUUUUCACUUCUUCUACUUUUAUCUCAAACUAAAUAUUUGUGCUGUAAAAUCCUAACUCUGUCAAAUUUGAGUGAUUUAAUCUGUUAUAUAAAGAAAUCUGUUAGCGCAUUAUAAAAUUUUAUCAAUUACUGUAAUAAUCUUUUCUAAUAACUAACUUAAAAAAAAAAGAAGGAAAAACAGAGUUUUUUUUAAAAUGAUAUCAAAUUUUAUCUAAAAAUUUAUCUUAAAGUAUUGGUUCAAAAUAAAAAAGGAAUAUUAGCUCUAUCCAAUACAUCACUAUGAAAUGUUUAUUUCAUUCAAUAGUUUCUCUUGUUGUCUUAUGCAUCAAAAUUUAAACAAAAAUCUACAUAAAAAUUCAUUUCAUUAAAACUAAAAGUAAAGUAGUAACUAUAAAUAAAACAUCCAGUUUUAGAUGAACUUUCUGUUUAUAUCAAAUAAGAAAAUAUUUAAGUCUCAAUUACUUUCUAUUAUUUUCAACACCAUAAUGUUUUAUUUCAGUAAUGAAAAACUUUAUUUUGCAAUUGAACAUGUACAAAGUCGAAAGACUAAAGAUAUCAAACUUUUUUAAGUUCUGGGGGACAUUUUAAAGCACUAAGUCAAAACAUUUAUCACAGCAUAUAAUUUUAUCAAAUGAAGAAAUUUAAUACUAUCCAUCAAAGCGUACAUAGGCCACACAUAACAUAUAGUGUUUGAAUGAAAAAAAUGUGUGGAAAACACAAAAAUGACCCAGUUUAUAAUUUUUUGUCAUGGGAAUUUCCCAAAGUGUGACCUAGAUGAGGAUGACCAAAGAUAGCAUAAGUUAUCCAUAUGUUUUCCUACAACUUCGAUGUCAAGUGGCACAAACUUGUAGCUAAGUGUGC
Molecule: long non-coding RNA, 981 nt
Filed under: Mytilus galloprovincialis (Mediterranean mussel)
Lineage: Eukaryota; Metazoa; Mollusca; Bivalvia; Mytilida; Mytilidae
Source: RNAcentral